Molecule: transfer RNA, 74 nt
Filed under: Moraxella macacae 0408225
Lineage: Bacteria; Pseudomonadati; Pseudomonadota; Gammaproteobacteria; Moraxellales; Moraxellaceae
Rfam family: tRNA
About the family: Transfer RNA (tRNA) molecules are approximately 80 nucleotides in length. Their secondary structure includes four short double-helical elements and three loops (D, anti-codon, and T loops). Further hydrogen bonds mediate the characteristic L-shaped molecular structure. tRNAs have two regions of fundamental functional importance: the anti-codon, which is responsible for specific mRNA codon recognition, and the 3' end, to which the tRNAs corresponding amino acid is attached (by aminoacyl-tRNA synthetases). tRNAs cope with the degeneracy of the genetic code in two manners: having more than one tRNA (with a specific anti-codon) for a particular amino acid; and 'wobble' base-pairing, i.e. permitting non-standard base-pairing at the 3rd anti-codon position.
Source: Rfam by way of RNAcentral
CGGGGCGUAGCGCAGUCUGGUAGCGCACUUGCAUGGGGUGCAAGGGGUCGCGAGUUCAAAUCCCGCCGUUCCGA